GACGAACGCUGGCGGCGCGCUUAACACAUGCCAGUCGAACGAUGACGACCGAGCUUGCUCGGUCUGAUUAGUGGCGAACGGGUGAGUAACACGUGAGCAACCUGCCCUUCACUCUGGGAUAACCUCGGGAAAUCGGGGCUAAUACCGGAUAUGAGCUCCUGUCGCAUGGCGGGUGUUGGAAAGUUUUUCGGUGAAGGAUGGGCUCGCGGCCUAUCAGUUUGUUGGUGAGGUAGUGGCUCACCAAGGCGAUGACGGGUAGCCGGCCUGAGAGGGCGACCGGCCACACUGGGACUGAGACACGGCCCAGACUCCUACGGGAGGCAGCAGUGGGGAAUAUUGCACAAUGGGCGAAAGCCUGAUGCAGCGACGCCGCGUGAGGGAUGACGGCCUUCGGGUUGUAAACCUCUUUCAGCAGGGAAGAAGCGAAAGUGACGGUACCUGCAGAAGAAGCGCCGGCUAACUACGUG
RNAcentral lists this ribosomal RNA (467 nucleotides) under uncultured bacterium. RNAcentral's name for it is "partial 16S ribosomal RNA". It matches the Rfam family "Bacterial small subunit ribosomal RNA", at positions 28 to 507 of the family's 1533-position model. The record is from RNAcentral.